GGUGCUGUAGUAUAGUGGUCAGUACAGCUCGUUGUGGUUUAGUCCCGAGCAGACCUGGGUUCGAUUCCCAGCAGCGCCA
RNAcentral lists this transfer RNA (79 nucleotides) under Aspergillus arachidicola. It matches the Rfam family "tRNA". From Rfam's summary of the family: Transfer RNA (tRNA) molecules are approximately 80 nucleotides in length. Their secondary structure includes four short double-helical elements and three loops (D, anti-codon, and T loops). Further hydrogen bonds mediate the characteristic L-shaped molecular structure. tRNAs have two regions of fundamental functional importance: the anti-codon, which is responsible for specific mRNA codon recognition, and the 3' end, to which the tRNAs corresponding amino acid is attached (by aminoacyl-tRNA synthetases). tRNAs cope with the degeneracy of the genetic code in two manners: having more than one tRNA (with a specific anti-codon) for a particular amino acid; and 'wobble' base-pairing, i.e. permitting non-standard base-pairing at the 3rd anti-codon position. The record is from Rfam by way of RNAcentral. Lineage: Eukaryota; Fungi; Ascomycota; Eurotiomycetes; Eurotiales; Aspergillaceae. RNAcentral also lists the same sequence under 5 other names.